RNAcentral lists this ribosomal RNA (277 nucleotides) under uncultured bacterium. RNAcentral describes it as "partial 16S ribosomal RNA". It matches the Rfam family "Bacterial small subunit ribosomal RNA", at positions 81 to 354 of the family's 1533-position model. The record is from RNAcentral.
CUUGCCGCCGGCGACCGGCGCACGGGUGAGUAACACGUAUGCAACCUGGCCGUGACAGAUGGAUAACCGGGAGAAAUCCCGCCUAAUACAACAUAAUGCCGGGAGGGGACAUCCCCUGCCGGCCAAAGGGGGCGACCCCGGUCACGGAUGGGCAUGCGGCGCAUUAGGUAGUUGGUGGGGCAACGGCCCACCAAGCCGACGAUGCGUAGGGGUUCUGAGGGGAAGGUCCCCCACAUUGGAACUGAGACACGGUCCAAACUCCUACGGAAGGCAGCAG